This 200-nucleotide ribosomal RNA is filed under the name uncultured bacterium. RNAcentral's name for it is "partial 16S ribosomal RNA". It matches the Rfam family "Bacterial small subunit ribosomal RNA", at positions 30 to 232 of the family's 1533-position model. The record is from RNAcentral.
AUUGAACGCUGGCGGCAUGCCUUACACAUGCAAGUCGAACGGUAACGCGGGGCAACCUGGCGACGAGUGGCGAACGGGUGAGUAAAGCAUCGGAACGUGCCCAGUAGUGGGGGAUAGCCCGGCGAAAGCCGGAUUAAUACCGCAUACGACCUGAGGGUGAAAGCGGGGGAUCGCAAGACCUCGCGCUAUUGGAGCGGCCG